This is an RNA transcript of Aethalodelphis obliquidens (Pacific white-sided dolphin), 1668 nucleotides long. It is a transcript of the gene named F-box protein 4, with no coding region annotated. The transcript is spliced from 9 exons. NCBI's taxonomy places the organism in Eukaryota, Metazoa, Chordata, Mammalia, Artiodactyla, Delphinidae. The record is from RefSeq and is a predicted model, not a curated record.
CAGCCAUGGCGGGAAGCGAACCGCGCAGCGGAGGCGUCACCCGUCAGCCUCACCACAGCGACUGGGGCCGCCUGGAGGCUGCCUUCCUCAGCGGCUGGAGGAACUUCUGGCAGUCGGUGGGCAAGGAGAGGGCGGCUCCGAGGUCCUCCCCGGAGGAGGCGGACGAGGAGGCCAGCUCGCUAACGCGGCUGCCGAUUGAUGUACAGCUAUAUAUUUUGUCAUUUCUUUCACCUCAUGAUCUAUGUCAUUUGGGAAGUACAAGUCAUUAUUGGAAUGAAACCGUACGAGAUGCAAUUCUGUGGAGAUAUUUUCUGUUGCGGGAUCUUCCUUCUUGGUCUUCUGUUGACUGGAAGUCUCUUCCAGAUCUAGAAAUCUUAAAAAAGCCGAUAUCUGAGGUCACUGAUGGUGCAUUUUUUGACUACAUGGCAGUCUAUAAAAUGUGCUGUCCAUAUACAAGAAGAGCCUCAAAAUCUAGCCGUCCUAUGUAUGGAGCUGUCACCUCAUUUUUACACUCAUUGAUCAUUCAGAAUGAACCACGAUUUGCCAUGUUUGGACCAGGUUUGGAAGAACUAAAUACAUCUUUGGUGUUGAGCUUGAUGUCUUCCGAGGAGCUUUGCCCAACAGCUGGUUUGCCUCAGAGGCAGAUUGAUGGUAUUGGAUCAGGAGUCAGUUUUCAGUUGAGCAACCAACAUAAAUUCAACAUCCUAAUAUUAUAUUCAACUACAAGAAAGGAAAGAGAUAGAGCAAGAGAAGAACAUACAAGUGCAGUUAACAAGAUGUUCAGUAUACAGAAUGAAGGGGAUGAUCAACAGGGAAGCCGGUACAGUGUAAUUCCACAAAUUCAGAAGGUGUGUGAAGUUGUUGAUGGGUUCAUCUAUGUUGCAAAUGCUGAAGCUCAUAAAAGACAUGAAUGGCAAGAUGAAUUUUCUCGUAUUAUGGCAAUGACAGAUCCAGCUUUUGGAUCUGCAAGAAGACCAAUGCUGGUUUUAUCUUGUAUUUCUCAAGCUAAUGUAAAAAGAAUGCCCUGUUUUUAUUUGGCCCAUGAGCUGCGUCUGAAUCAUCUAAGCCACCCAUGGAUGGUCCAGGAUACAGAGGCUGAAACUUUAACUGGUUUUUUGAAUGGCAUUCAGUGGAUUCUUGAAGAAGUAGAAUCUAAGCAUGCAAGAUGAUCCUCCUUUUAGACCUUGGGAACUGAAAGAAAGCAUUUGGAACUUGUUACUAAGGUCGUGAUGUGGAUAUUUGCUCAAGUCAGCUCAUUCUGCCCUGCCUUUUUGCAGCUGGAACAUUGGUCUUCUCCUGCCUUCACACUUGGACUUGGACAGGAACUACACCAUUGGCUUUACUGCGUCUUCACCAGAUUUCUGGGUUCAACUGAAGAUCUUGGAACUUCUCAGUCUCCAUAAUCACGCUUUGCAAUAAUUUUUUAAUGAAGCAUAUUAAGUUUUUGUUUAUGACUACAAGAAUGCAUAUUCAUAAUAAGAAACCUUGGAGAAUACAAGGGAAGCAUGAAGAGGGGCAAAAGAAAAUCACCCUUAGUUUACAACAAAAGACAAUCAACGUCUAUAUUUGGUAUAUUUUCUUUUAUUCUCUUUUAUAUCUUGCAUUGAAGUUUUUGGCUUUGAUUUUUAUUGUUCAUAUUAUUUCAUGAAUAGUAAAAUGCUAAUCAUA